RNA transcript from Perognathus longimembris pacificus (Pacific pocket mouse), 3636 nucleotides. It is a transcript of the gene named SURP and G-patch domain containing 2, with no coding region annotated. Lineage: Eukaryota; Metazoa; Chordata; Mammalia; Rodentia; Heteromyidae. The record is from RefSeq and is a predicted model, not a curated record. The transcript has 12 exons.
UGCUGGUGGCAAAGCCACAGUGAGCCCCGAGUCCGACCAUGGCCACAUCUGUCACCACCUUACUGUCACGAGGUGUGGCCCAGAGGCUGUCCCAGGAGGGGCCUUUCCCUCUCUACAGUGGGGAGAGAGCCAUCGUCAGCCAGGGCUGCCUCCUGCUCUCCCACCCCGGCACCCAACCUCGGGCAAAUAAAUAUGGCAGCUCGGCGCAUUGCACCAGAGACUCUUGACGUUGUGCUACAGGAAAAAGCGAAACGAUACCACGUAGACCCAAGUGCUGAGGCUGUCAGCGAAACCCUUCACUUGAAAGCUCCAGAUCUGUUAAGAGCAACCCCUAGAAGCAGAGCGGACAUGUAUGAGGGUGCUCCAAGUGAUGGCAGGUUGCUCAGCAGCUCUGUGCCUCACUCUCGAGAUGCUGGGCGAGAAGGCCUCAGAGGCGAUGUGUUUCCAGGACGAUCCUUCAAAUUAAGCAACCCUGCCGUCAGCGAUGACAGCUACUUUCGAAAAGAAUGUGGCCAGGGCCUGGAAUUUGCCCACCCUGACUCCCAAGACCCAGUCUUUGGUCCCAGGAAAUUGGGACAUUUCCAGUCUCAGGACUGGAAGCUGGUGGUCCGUGGCUCAUGGGAGCAGGGCCUUGGCCCCCAGGUCUCUUCAGAGCCCUCAUGGGUGCAGGAGUGCGGGUUGGGUACUCCCGCUGUGCCAGGGGACAUAACCUCCUCCAGGCGCAUGGAGAAAGAGUGUGCGGAGGAGGAGAGUCGGGAUUACAACGCGGACCCCCAAGGGAAAGAUGAUGCUGUGCCCAGGAGCCAUGGGCAAAGCCAAGCUAGAGGCCAGGAAGGUGCCCUCCUGGGAAAGGGGGAGACUGAGGAUCUACUCACAGCAAAGGGGGGUGCUGGGAAACUCACCAUUCUGAAAAGUGUGGCUACAAAAAAAGCGCCUGCUGUAAACCGCAUCCCUUCCAAACCUCAGGGCUCUCGCCAAAUCCAGAAAGCCACCCUGCGCCCCGACAUUACCCUGGGGACACACCCGGGGGUAGGGGACAUCCAUCUCCCUGUCCCUAAAGUCCCCUUGGGGCUGGACCUGAAGACCAUCCACUUCCCCGGGAGGAGGACAAGCUUUGACCUCAUAGAUAAGACCGAUGUCUUCUCAAGGUUUGGCGUGGAAAUCAUCAAGUGGGCUGGGUUCCACACAAUCAGAGAUGACGCCAGGUUCUCCCAGCUCUUCCAGACCCUCUUUGAACUGGAAACAGAGACCUGUGCAAAGACACUUGCCUCCUUUAAGUGCUCCUUGAAACCAGAGCACAGAGAUUUUUGCUUUUUUACUAUCAAAUUUUUAAAGCACUCCGCUUUGAAAACACCCCGAGUUGAUAAUGAGUUUUUAAACAUGCUUUUAGACAAAGGUGCUGUGAAGACCAAAAAUUGCUUUUUUGAGAUCAUAAAACCCUUUGAUAAGUACAUCAUGAGGCUCCAGGACCGGCUUCUGAAGAGCGUCACACCCCUGCUCAUGGCCUGCAAUGCCUACGAGCUGAGUGUCAAGAUGAAGACCCUCACCAGCCCCCUGGACCUGGCACUGGCCCUGGAGACCACCAACUCCCUCUGCCGGAAGUCUCUGGCCCUGUUGGGACAAACCUUUUCCUUGGCCUCCUCUUUCCGGCAGGAGAAAAUUUUAGAAGCAGUAGGCCUCCAAGACAUAGCGCCCUCCCCAGCUGCCUUUCCCAACUUCGAGGACUCUACUCUGUUUGGGAGAGAGUACAUGGAGCACCUGAAGGCUUGGCUGCUCACCAGCGGGUACCCCCUGCAGGUCAGGAAAGCCCCACAGCCAGCCCCAGAAGAGGAAGAGGAGGAAAGGGCCAGUCCUACAAAGUCUGACCUGCACCCCGGGACACAGAGGCCACUGAUUGAUGCUGUGCCCCCGCGUGCAGAUCACACAGUGACGGCCACCAUUGAGCAGCUGGUCAUGCGGGUGCUGGACGGCAGUCUGUCCCCCAAGGAGAGAGCCGCUCUCAAGGAGGACCCUGCAUACUGGUUUCUGGCAGAUGAGGGCAGUCUGGAAUAUAAAUACUAUGAGCUGAAGUUGUCGGAGGCCGGGCGGAGGAUCCAGGACAGGACUAGGUCCCAGCAGUCUCCCACUCCAGCUGAGUGUGCUGUGCGGGCCAUGCUGUAUGCCCGCCUUGUUCACAGCCUCAAGAAGAAGCUCCUGCCCUGCCGCCGCCGCCGGCCCCUUCGGGCCCAGGGCCACUGGGGCUGGCCAGCCGGGCGAGCCACCACCGGUACACAGACACGCCUUUCCUCCGGUGCCCGGCCAAAACCUCACAGCUGGCGGGCUCCAGGCUCCUCACAGACCAAGUCACCCCUGCCAAGUGGAAGAGACACCACCAAGGACAGCCUGCCAGGCCCCACUGGGUCUGCGCCUGCAACAUGCAGCCUUGAAGAGUCAGGCCGAGUGAGCACAGAUGUCCUGGGCACCUCUCGCACCUCCUCUCCCUGCCCAGCUGCCAACGUUGACAUGAAGACCAUGGAGACGGCAGAGAAGCUGGCCAAGUUUGUGGCUCAGGUGGGACCUGAGAUCGAGCAGUUCAGCAUAGAAAACAGCACCGACAACCCCGACCUCUGGUUUCUCCAUGACCAAAGCAGCCCUGCCUUCAAAUUCUACCGGAAUAAAGUGUUUGAGCUGUGCCCAUCUAUUUCCUUCCCGCCAACCCAUCUCCCACCUCCCACCAGCACGGGCCAUGCAGACCCCACUGGGGCCCAAGGCGAGUUGGACGAGGACCACGAGGAGGAAGAGGAGGAAGUGGGAGAGGAGGCUCCCACCCAUGGCACCUCUGGGCCCAGAGCAGGAACCAGCAGGUCUGAGGGCUCUGUGGGCAGCCCUGCUGCAGAUGGCCUCCCUGCUGAUGUGGCUGAUGAUGAGCCUGCAGGGCCUGGCUUGGUGCAGGCCUCCCCGGGCACCUGCUUGCCCCGGAAGAGGAUGAGCAGCAAGUCUCUGAAGGUCGGCAUGAUUCCGGCUCCCAAGAGGGCCUGCCUCGUGCCCGAGCCAGAAGUCCAUGAGCCCGUCCGGAUUGCUUAUGACAGGCCUCGGGGUCGACCCAUAGCUAAAAAGAAGAAACCCACGGACUUGGACUUCCCACAGCAGAAGCUCACAGGCCAGAACCUGGGCUUCCAGAUGCUGCAGAAAAUGGGCUGGAAGGAGGGCCAUGGCCUAGGCUCCAGCGGAACAGGCAUCCGAGAGCCUGUCAGCUUGGGCAUGCGCUCAGAAAGGGAGGGCCUGGGCGCCGAUGGGCCAGAGCGAACUGAGGACACAUUCGAUGUCUUCCGGCAGAGGAUGAUGCAGAUGUACCGGCACAAACGGGCCAACAAAUAGGCAGAUGAGAGCCACUGGUGACACAGACCAGGCUGCAGCAGCCAUUGCCCUUCCCCCACCACCCCGCCCGGACCUGCGGAGCCCAAGGCUGCUUCCUUCGGUUGGUUCGGGCUCGUGAGGACUGUGGCUCCCCCACCUGUGGACCCUAACGUGGAUGACCCCGGCUCAGAGGCCCCAGAAGACUGGCGUGAUGUUGCGUACAGGUUCCGUUCUGUCCCAAGUGUAAGACAUUGUGGGUGCUGUUGGUCAUUAGUUGCAAUAAACGUAGAGGAAACCCUG